GAUGAACGCUGGCGGCGUGCCUAAUACAUGCAAGUCGAGCGAACAGACGAGGAGCUUGCUCCUCUGACGUUAGCGGCGGACGGGUGAAUAACACGUGGAUCACCUCCCUAUAAGACUGGGAUAACUUCGGGAAACCGGAGCUAAUCCCGGAUGAUAUAUUGAACCGCAUGUUUCAAUAUUAAAGGACGGUUUUGCUGUCACUUAUGGAUGUAUCCGCUUCGCAUUAGCUAGAUGGUAAGGUAACGGCUUACCAAGGUGCCUAUGCGUAGCCGACCUGUGAGGGUGAUCGGACACGCCGGAACUGGAACACGGUCCAGCCUCGACCGGGAGGCAGCAGAAGGGAAGCUUACGCACUGGGAGAAAGCAUGACGGAGCAACGCAGCGUGAGGGAUGAAGGGAUGGGGAUCGUAAAACACUGUUAUGAGGGAAGAAAAAAUGUGUAAGUAACGAUGAACGAAUUGACGGUACCUAAUCAGAAAGCCACGGCUAACUACGUG
Molecule: ribosomal RNA, 497 nt
Filed under: uncultured bacterium
Lineage: Bacteria
Description: partial 16S ribosomal RNA
Rfam family: Bacterial small subunit ribosomal RNA
Source: RNAcentral